This 292-nucleotide ribosomal RNA is filed under the name uncultured bacterium. RNAcentral's name for it is "partial 16S ribosomal RNA". It matches the Rfam family "Bacterial small subunit ribosomal RNA", at positions 505 to 796 of the family's 1533-position model. The record is from RNAcentral.
GUGUCAGCAGCCGCGGUAAGACAGAGGGUGCAAACGUUGUUCGGAAUUACUGGGCGUAAAGCGCGUGUAGGCGGUUCGGAAAGUCGGGUGUGAAAGCCCUGGGCUCAACCCAGGAAGUGCACUCGAAACUCCCGAGCUGGAGUCCUGGAGAGGAAGGCGGAAUUCUCGGUGUAGAGGUGAAAUUCGUAGAUAUCGAGAGGAACAUCGGUGGCGAAGGCGGCCUUCUGGACAGCGACUGACGCUGAGACGCGAAAGCGUGGGGAGCAAACAGGAUUAGAAACCCCUGUAGUCC